This 436-nucleotide ribosomal RNA is filed under the name uncultured bacterium. RNAcentral's name for it is "bacterial SSU rRNA". It matches the Rfam family "Bacterial small subunit ribosomal RNA", at positions 214 to 661 of the family's 1533-position model. The record is from RNAcentral.
UCCGCCUAAAGAAAAGCUCGCGGCUGAUUAGCUAGUUGGUAAGGUAAUGGCUUACCAAGGCGACGAUCAGUAUCUGGUUUGAGAGGACGAUCAGACACACUGGAACUGAGACACGGUCCAGACUCCUACGGGAGGCAGCAGUGGGGAAUUUUCCGCAAUGGGCGAAAGCCUGACGGAGCAAUACCGCGUGAGGGAAGACAGCCUACUGGGUUGUAAACCUCUUUUUUCAGGGAGGAAAAAAAUGACGUGUACCUGAAGAAUAAGCAUCGGCUAACUCCGUGCCAGCAGCCCGCGGUAAGACGGAGGAUGCAAGUGUUAUCCGGAAUUACUGGGCGUAAAGCGUCUGUAGGUUGUUUAAUAAGUCAACUGUUAAAUCUUGAGGCUUAACUUCAAAACGGCAGUCGAAACUAUUAGACUAGAGUAUAGUAGGGGUAAA